AUCUGUUAAUUAUCUUUAGUUUAUUUGAUUAUUUCAAAAACAAAACAAUAAAAAAUCAAAUGGAAAAAUCAAAAGCUUGGCUGUGUUGAAUUAGAUAGAAACACAUGGGAAUUCAAGCUGAAAAAUACAAAAAUCACCAAAAAACAUUGCUCUUUGCAAUUUAUCACCACCCCAGUGCCUUCUUUGCAACUUUCACUUAAUAACCUGUGAACGAGAAAGGGGACAUUGGGAGGAAUGCUUGGCUGAAAUUUGGCAUCCAAACGGUGUGGGUGAGCGGCAACCGGAGUACUAGACGAGGUCAAUGACGGUUUAAAUGGGUGACUAGAAGGUCAAAUGCUGCUAGAGUUUUGGUCUGGAAACAUUUGUUUUGGCUUGAAAAAGAAGAGCUGCAAAAAUGAGGAUUGGAGAAACUUAAAAGAAUAUAAAAUAAGGAGAUUUGACCUUGGAUUUAAAGUGAUAACAAGUCUAAACCCAAAUCGGUUUUAAUAGUUAGCAAAGUGAGUUGAGCUACCUUUAUUCUAAGGGACCAUUUGCUUUGAAUUGGUGCAACCUUGGUAUGUAUUUUUGUUUAUUUACUUUACUUGUAUUUUAGUCUUUAUCUAUUUUAUCAUGCAUAGUGUUAGGCAAUAUUUUAAUUAUUUGAACAUAAAUAUAUAUAAAAAUACAAUAAAAAUUAAAAAUAGGUUUUGAUAAAGUAAAUUUGCAAAUUUAAUUCAAUUGGUACAACUAAAUAUUUUAUUAUGAAAGUCAAUUAAUUUGUAAUGGUAAAUGAAAAUUAUCCGAUGAUGAAAUUCUUAGAAAUUAUAAAUGGUUAAUUUCUAAAAAAUUUCUAGGUGAGAAUUUUUUUUAAAAAUUUAACCCAAAUGGAGGAAAAAUUUAGAUAAAAUUUCAAUAACAAUAAUUAAUUUUUAUUUUUAUUUUUAAAAAAUACAUAAACAAGUUAAUGAAAUUCUUGGAAAUGAAUUAACAAUUAUUCCAAUGGUGAGAUUCCUAAAAAUUUUAAAUAGUAAAUUUUUCAAGAAAUCUCUAGGUGAGAAAUUGUUUUAAAUUUAACAAAAAUAGUGGAAUAAUUUAGACAAACUUCAAUAAAAGUAAUGUAUUUUUAUCCAAAUAAAAAAAUAAAAAACAUAAAUUAAAAUUUUGUGAAAAUAUUUGACAAUUAUCCAAUGAUGAAAUCUCAAGGAAAAUCAUAAUGAUAGAAUUUUUAUGAGAUUUCUAGGUGAAUUUUUUUUUCCUAAAUUCAACCAAAUGGUGAAAGAAUUUAGAUGAAACUUCAAAUAAUAAUUGUCAUAUCAUUUUUUUUCUAAAGAAACAAAUGACAAAUAACAAGAAUUCAAUUUUUACGAAAGAUAUUUCUAAAUUAGGGCCAAAUUGUGAAAAAUUUAGAAAUAAAACUUGUAAAAUAAAAAAUAAAUCAUGAGGAUGAAAUUCUUAGUAAUUGCAAAUGGAUAAUUAUCUAAGACAUUUCUAGGUGAAAGAAUAUUUCUAAUUUUGUCCCAAAUGGUGAAAAAAUUUUAUAUAUUUUCAACAAAAUAAAAAUUUAACAAAAAAAAUGAUUAAGUUUUUCCAAGAAAACAAAUGAGAUUUUUGAAUACUUUUAAGGUGAGAAAAUAUUUUUAGAAUUUUACUAGAUUGAUGGAAAAAUCUUAAAAGUUCUUUCUAAUAUUUAAAUAUUAAAAUAAUGAUCAUUAUAACCAAGAUAAUUAUUAGGAUAAUUUAAAAUUAAAUGGUACUAUCUUAAGGAUGGGUGUUGUGGGGGUGUUAUAACCUUCUUCACACAUAAUUGAACUCCCGAACUUAAUUCUGAAAUACAGAUCAAAACUUAUUCUUUUAGGGAUCUUUAGUUAAGCUUAUAAUAUCUUUAAAAGGAUAAAUUCGCCUAGGUGACCAAUCACACCUUAAUAAAAGAUUGGUGACAACUCCUUACGUUAUGUUUAGCUAUAGGUUAAUGGAUCUAUAUGUUAUAAUAGUUUGAUGACUCUAUUGGAGACUCUGAGAGUUAGGCCAUAAUUAAUUUUGAAUUAUCCUAAUUUUUAGUUUGCUUGGUCUUCAAUUAUUGAUCAUUUUUGUUUGCAUUUAUUUUUAUUGUUUUUUAUUCUUUGACUUGGCUUGUGAAAAUUGCGAAUAAAGAUGUGUUCCUUCACACACACUGUUACAUGCAUGUGUAUCACAUGAGUUCUAUACCUAAGUUUCGUCCUUCUUAGGAGGGAGUAAAGUACUACAUCCUCGUGAGAUGAUAAUCUCCGUAAUGGCUAGCGAAAUACUUCCACUCAAAUUGAAUUCUUUCCGUUUGUAGCCUAUGAUGGGCGAGAAUUGGAGUGUUUUACUAGUCUAUGAUGGACAAUGAUGUAAGAACAAUUUGGAAACUUUUAGAUUUAACUCAAACCAUAUGUAGUAAAACAUAAGAAGCCAACCUUAGGUUAGAGUCAUAUCUACCCAUUAUUAUAAUGUAACCUUAGUUAGGACAUAUGAGUGGACCUUUUGAGCUUCAUUCAUAUCAACUUCAUGAUAAAUGUUAUUUGAUCCUUAUUUAUUUUUAAGUUGUUGUAUGUUGUUUAUUGUAUUCUAAUACAGCAUCACUAACAUAUAUUUUCAUCCACGAAUCGUAAUGUGACAAACAUCAGUACAUGCAUUCAUACAUUGUUGUGCAUACAUUAAUGUGUUUAUGAAUCAUAGUUUGUUGUGUCAAGCAUUCAAUGCAUUCAUUCAUUCAUGCAUAUAGGAUUCUUAAAAAAGUUAGGUUAAUUUUGAAAGCUUCUUCACACACACACUUAGUAACAUGAGCAUGCUAAUUGUUGUACAUAAGAUUCAAUGAUAGUUCAAUUGUUUAAGAAUCCUACUUAAAUAACCCACCAUCAAUACAAUACUAGAGUUUGAGCUAGACAGAUGGAAUAGGAAAAUGCAAAUCAUCUUGAGAAAAUCGAGAUGCCCAAGAAAAACUUGAAAGGGAGUUGAGUAAAAUUUUAGAAGCCGUAAACAAGUUGAACAAAGGAAAGGUCGUACAAGAAGAUGCUAGCCCACAAGACCAUCCAUCACAUGAUGUUGUUGAUCCUCUUUAUCUUCCUAGUUAUGGCCUAUAUUAGGUUCAAUCUACCUAAGGCAUUCCUCCAUUACAAAUCUCAUGCCUGGCGGGAUAUACCUAUCCAAGAGUGCCUUUUGUAUCAACUAAGGGGCAAUUUCAGAGUUAUGUCAAUCCUUUCUUUAAAAAAAAGGAGAAGAAUCAAUACAAGUCCCCAACCUGGAUGAUCCAAAAGAGAAAAAGAAGAUAAGAUCGAAGGUGGUUGAGAUUUUAGAAGGCUUAAAAGCUGAACAAAGAUGAACUUAUUAGAGGAUAGAUUAUGAGUAAUUGAAGAGAAGAAUAUUUAUGGCUUAAUGGAUGCAGCUGACCUUUGCUUAGUUCUGGAUGUAGUGAUCCCACUAAAAUUUAAGGUCUCGAAGUUUGAAAAGUAUGAUGGUACAAAGUGUCUGAUAACUCAUGUUAUCAUGUACUGUCGAAAAAUGGUUGCUUACACAAGCAAUGAGAUGCUGUUGAUACAUGUGUUCCAAGACAGUUUUAUUGGUUCUACAGCUAGAUGGUACAUUUAAUUGGAUAGAACUCACAUUACUUCAUGAAAGAAAUUGACAAAGGCAUUCAUCACCCAGUACCGUCUCAUCAUAGACUUGGCUUUAGAUUGCUUUUCCUUGCAAAAUGUGGAAAAAAAGGUCAUUUAAGGAGUACGUCCAAAGGUGGAAAGGUGUGGCUACUCAAGUUCAACUGUCUUUGACUGAAAAAAAGACUACAGUGAUGUUUGUAAGUACUUUGAAAAGUCCUUACUAUAAUAGGAUGAUAGGAAAUGCAACGAAGAACUUCGUUGAUAUGGUGAUCUCAAGAGAGAUUAUUGAAAAUGCUAUCAAGAGUGACAAGCUUUUGGAAGGAGAAACCACCAAUAAAGGAAGGUUGUCUAAAAUGAAAGAAACCAAAGCCCAAGCUGUAAAUUUCGAUGGGCAACAAUUCAAAAGUUAUGCUCCAUAUCCACCACCUGUUCAUCUUGUUUACUAUCCCACGGUUAAUAGCAUUGUGCAAGCCCUUUACCAACUUGUUCCACAACUAGCUUACCCACUAACUUACCAACCAGUCUUUCAAAUACCUGCAUAUGGGUCUAGUCAUAUCACUAUAUUAGCUUCAAGGCCUAACAACCAAGCAAAUGGUUUGAGGAGAUCUCGGAACAACCAAGAAAGGGCCCACAUUGAUCCUAUCCUCAUGAGUUACACUGAAUUAUUCCCAGAACUAGUCAAGAAUGACUUGGUAUAUCUAGUUAUUUUAGAACCAUUGCGAUUAUCAUAAUGGGAACGUGUCAUUCUAUAAAAACUUGUCUCGUUUUCAAGCACAAGGUGCAAAGUUUGAUCCAAAAAGGCUUAGUGAGCUUUGACGAAUCAGUGGGGUCGGAUGUCAAAAAAACCCUUCCUCUGAUCACAUGGAGGCAUAAUUUUGGGAAGGACAAGGAUGUUAAGGCUAGUUGGAAGUUGCUUGUCAUUUUAGAAUUUCUUUUAAAGUAAUAUUAGGAUUUUUUUUAUGUAAUAAGAUUUCAUUUUUUAUCAUUUUAAUAGAAGGCAAGUUGAUGCAUUUUAUUACAUUGUCUUUUUCCCUAAGCCAUUAUUCCAUGCGUUGUUAUUUCCCAUGUCUUUUUUAUUCCCAUUCUCACAUUUCAAAUGAUGAAUGUUUAGACAAUGAUAAUAAUAAUUCUAGGAUUUAAUUUUGAAAACUCAUUCAUAUUGAUCUGUGGAGACUAUUUGAGCAAAAGAAGUAAUCUGUAAGCAGAUAUGAAAUGAACAUGUCUUGAAGACAUACAAUCUUUUAUAAUGAUCAAUGAGUUUGUCUUUGUUCAAUAAAUGAUUUUCAAAGAAAGUAUUAUAUUUGAGAUGAAAAAUGGUCAUAUUUUUUAACCAUUUAUAAAACCAUUAAUUGCUAUCCCUUUUGUGCUUUUUAUUAAUUUUUUCUAAAAAAUCUCACCUAAGGAUCACCCUCCAUACUUGAGGGCAAAUUUUGGGAAGAACAUACUUGAAAAAGGAAAAAAACAAAAGAUAACAACAGAUCUCAAAGAUAGGGAGUAGAAAAAAAAGAACCGAUUUUACAAAAAAAAAAAAAAGAGACAAAAAUGAAUACCACAAAUGAUUUGGGUCAAAGUAAUGAAAAUCCUUUUAUGAGGAAUAAGAUGAAUGAAAAAAGUAGUGGAAUAGGGCAAAGUGCCAAGUUAUAUCACAUGAUGAGAAAUGAUCCUUUGAUUUUGAAGCUGAAAAAUACAAAAAUCACCAGAAAACACUGCUCUUUGCAAUUCAUCACCACCCCAUUGGCUUUUUUACAACUUUCACUUAAUAACCUGUGAAUGAGAAAAGGGACAUCGGGAGGAAUGUUUGGCUGAAAUUUGGCAUUCAAACGGUGUGUACGAGCAGCAACCGGAGUGCUAGAUGAGGGCGACGACGCUCUAAAUGGGUGAUUAGAAUGUCACGAUGCUGCUAGAGUUUUGGUCUAGAAACAUUUGUUUUGGCUUGAAAAAGAAGAGCAGCAAAAACGAGGAUUGGAGAAACUUAAAAAAAUAAAAAAUAAGGAGAUUUGACCUUGGAUUUGAAGUGAUAACAAGUCUAAACCCAAAUCGAUUUUAAUAGUUA
This 5646-nucleotide long non-coding RNA is filed under the name Durio zibethinus. Its description in RNAcentral is "long non-coding RNA (DZIB_LNC001534)". Lineage: Eukaryota; Viridiplantae; Streptophyta; Magnoliopsida; Malvales; Malvaceae. The record is from RNAcentral.